This is a non-coding RNA of Pogona vitticeps (central bearded dragon), 490 nucleotides long. The record is from RefSeq and is a predicted model, not a curated record. NCBI's taxonomy places the organism in Eukaryota, Metazoa, Chordata, Lepidosauria, Squamata, Agamidae.
AACAAGCUAGCGAUAUUCCAACUCGCCAGUAGGUGGCAGUAAUAUGGCAUCCCUCCCUGUCUCGCCAUUGACUACAGUACGUACUAGAAGCAGCGGCAAUGGUCGAGUGGGUGUGGUCGGCCGGAAAGGAGGAAGAAAGGACUAGAACCGGAUGGUAACGAAGUGCUAUAUGGGAAGCAGCAAAGGUUUACAAACGUUAUGUCACCGCUAUGGCGGAGUUCUUGUAUGCCUGACAAAUAUUCAACAGGGCGAUGGAAACCUUGUCUGCGUUGAGCAGGGACCUGGGACCGGAAAGGAGGAGCAGAAAAGGAAGGCUGAGAAAAGUUGGAUCUCUCAGGAGCCUGAGCCAGAGAUUGAGUCUUCACCGACACUGAAGAAGGCUUCGAGGUUGACAUCGAUACCGAUGGUGAUUUAAGCUUGGAAGCCUUGGUAGAAGACCUUGGCAAUGGUGUAGGAGCCAACAGGAUGGAAGACUCAGAUUGAGACGGUG